GAUCAUCUAUCUCAAACUCAUACAUCACAUUCUCUUCUUUACAAAAAAGAGCAAACUGAAGUCCUCAGUGACAAGUACACCUUCCUUAAAACCUUUCUUGACGAUUUUACUAAUAUUUUCCAUGAAGAUAUAAAGAUGAAGCAUCUGGAAAGGAUGAUCCAAGAAGCUGCUAAUGGAGUGGAAGAUACUAUUGACUCACAUGUAUAUGAUAGCUCUGUCUUAGUACAAAGCAAGCGAGUACAAAGAAAGGCUGAUACAAUUUUUCAUCAAAACUUGGAAUAUGCAAUUGAGGAAAUUGGUUUGAUACAAAAAGAGGUUAUGAAAAAGAUAAAGGUCAACAAGUUCAACAGCAAAAUCUCUCAUUCAAGAGAUACUUCAUCUCAGAUCCCUAUGGAUCAAAAAGAUGUAAUCAUCGGACUAGAUGAAGACUUGCUAAAGAUAAAAGAUCGACUCAUCGUGCAAUCAUCAAGACUCGAAGUUGUCCCCAUUAUAGGGAUGGGUGGUAUAGGCAAGACCACACUGGCUAGAAGAGUUUAUGAUGAUUCCUUGAUUGCAUACCAUUUUUAUGUUCGAGCAUGGACAAAUGUAUCUCAAGAAUUUGACACUAGAGAAAUUUUUCUUGGUAUUCUUCGCUCCAUUGGCGUGGUCAAGGAUGAAGUAGAAAGAAACAGUACUAAUGAGCAAUUGGCUGAAAGAGUUUAUCGAAGUUUAAAAGGGAUGAAGUAUCUUAUUGUCCUAGAUGAUAUGUGGUCCAUCGAGGCUUGGAAGCAUGUGAGGAGAUCUUUUCCGGAUGAUCAUAAUGGAAGUCGAAUCUUGUUGACCACGAGGCUGGUAGAUGUUGCAUCUUGUGCUUGCUCUGGCAAUUCCCUUCACGAGAUGCGCUUUCUGAGUGUGGAGGAAAGCUGGAUUCUUUUACGCGAUAAGGUCUUUGGGAAUGGUAGUUACCCUCCGGAAUUGGAGAAAAUUGGGAGAUACAUUGUCCGUCAGUGUCAAGGGUUGCCACUUGCAGUUGUUGCAAUUGGUGGACUACUUUCCAAGAUGAGCAAGGAAACAAGUUCUUGGGAGAAAGUUGCAGAAAAGGUAGGAUCACUUAUGACAAGUGACACUAUGGAUUGCUUGAACAUACUUUCUUUGAGCUACAACCACUUGCCUCAGUACUUGAAAACAUGCUUCCUUUAUAUGGGAGUUUUUGCAGAAAGUCGUGAGAUCCCGGUCUGGAAGUUAAUAAAGUUAUGGAUUGCUGAGGGCUUCGUCAAGAAAGUUAAUCAUAAAAAAUCUAGAAGAUGUGGCAGAGGAAAAUUUGAGGGAGUUGGUUGAUAGAAGUUUGGUUUUGGUGGGGAGAGAUACCUCCCUGGGAAAAAUCAAGACUUGUAAGAUGCAUGAUCUCGUUCGAGAUAUGUGUUUGAGAGAAUCCCAAUAUGAGAAUUUUUUACACUUCAAAACGAGGUAUGACAAAGAUAAUCUUCUAGAAAACAUUAAUUGUCUACGUCGUAUAGUUGAUUUCAUUAAUUAUGGAUCCAGUGGAAUUUCUAUAUUUAUUCCACUCGCACGUUCUGUUUUCUUCAAACAUGAAUACAACUUUUGUUCCCCCGCACGAUUAAGGUUUAGAUUGCUUAGGAUAUUAGAUGUUUGUUUUCCAUGUUCUUUCUCCUGUAGUCAGUCCAUAUCAGAACUUGUUCAUUUGAGGUAUCUUGCUUGUCCGUCCUUCGGUGGCCUUGUGCAAUCAAUAUGCAAGCUUCGGAAUUUACAGAACUUAGUUAUUCAUGAUGUAAGCUUAUUUGCUUCACUUAUAACAACCCAGUCCCUAGCAUGGGAAGUUUUGAAUAUGCCUCAACUAAGACAUAUCCAUACAAAAAACUUUAGUCUCUUCAUACCCCGACCUACAUCCCUAAUUGCUGAGAGGGAGAAUCACUUACUAACAAUAACCGGAUUGAUUCCCUCAUCUUGUAAUGAUGAGGUGUUUCUAAGAAUUCCAAAUUUGAAGAAGUUGGGAAUUUUAAUUGAUGUUGCUUCAUACCCUAUUAGGAAUUGCCUUGAUAAUCUUGUACAUUUAACUCAGCUUGAGAAGCUCAAAGUUGUGGUCAGAGAGCCUUUUCUGCUAAUUUUUACGCCGAUUAUCGAAGGUUGGAUGGACAUUCCACAUUGUGACAAUUUCCCACCAAACCUUAAGAAGUUAACAUUGUGCAGAACAAACCUACAAUGGGAAGACAUGAACAUUCUCAGAAAAUUACCUAAUCUUGAGGUGCUCAAACUUAAAGAUUAUGCCUUUCGCGGACUAACUUGGAAACUAAGCGAUGUAGACGAAGAUGGAUUCUUGAAGCUAAAGUUUUUACUUCUUGAGAGCUUGCAUCUGAUGCAAUGGGAAGCAACAAGUUAUCAUUUUCCAAGCCUUGAGCACUUUGUCCUAACAAAUUGCCGGUACUUGGAAAAAAUUCCUUUCGACUUUGCGGAGAUUCAGACACUACAGCUGAUUGAACUACACGAAUGUAUGCGUUCUGUUCUUGUUUCAGCAGAGCAAAUACAAGAGGAGCAACAAAGCUUUGGAAAUGAUGACCUCAUUAUCCGUGCGAACUAUAUACUUGAGUAAACAUUAAUCAAAAAGGUAUACCCUUUUUUUAAAAGCAUAAAGAUUUUUGAUUAGUUAGAUUCCUUCGAAAUCUGAAAAUGAUUUUUAUAUUCAUCAUUUUCACUUAUUUAUACUAUAAAAGGUGCUAAUUACAAUUGGUUUGUGCAUUGCAGACGUAACGACUAGCUAAAUGGAAAGUACCAUAAGGUAUAUACACUCAAGCAAAUUUGCAGAAGUUCAUGUUAUUUCCUGUCUGUGUAUUUCGAUUUCCUUUUAUCAAAUUCUGGGAAGUAAGUUAGUGAAAUAGUCAUGUUUCAACUUGUUUGGGACUGAAACGUAGUUUAGUGAAUCUGACAUCUAUAUACAUUCAUCAAAAAGAAUGCAUUACCUUUGGAAUGUGUAUAUAGAAUAACUUCUCUUUUUAUUGAAAUUGAUUCUAUAAAUUAGUUCUCCUCAACAAAACCUUUUCGACCAUACCAAACACACCCUUAGUGAUUCUUUGUUUUGCUCGUCUUAACUCUUAUCUAUACUUUUAACAUUUUUUUGUCUUUUACUUGCUUCUUUUGUUUACAAUAAUGUUUUAUCAUUUUCAAUAUGUUGACUUUUAGUCAAUUUUAUUUUUUCUUAAUUCAAAACAAUAUAAUAAAAGAGACGUUGAAAAAUUCCAAAUAUGUGAAAAAUCUUCUCUUUAUUUUGCUUUGCUCUUUCGAUCUUAAUUUAUAUAACAUAUUUCGCUUUUUAGUAUGUCUCAAAACAAAUUACUACAUUUUCUAAUUUGAAUAUAUAUUAAAAUUGUGGAUAUCAUAUUUUAGUUAUGAUGUUAUACUUUAGUUAAAGAAUUUUUCUUUUUUAAUUGUUCGCUUUAGCAAAUCAAGAUCAUAAAAUUAUUAAUUGAUUUUUUAAUAAUUGUAGCGUCUAAGUCCGUUUGUAUGCGCCAACUAAUUCUAUGAUAUACUAUAUCUAUUAUUCCUCACCAACCAUGCAUAAAGUAACUUUGUUAUCAAAGCUUGAACUGAUAAGAAGAAAUCAUCACGCGCGUGUUCUUAGUUAGCUAUAUCUAGAAUUUGAAUUUAAAAUCCCAUAAUUUUCAACACAUGACUUCAUUGACCAUCUUUCAAAAAUAACAUAAGAUCUACAUUUAUUCUAUCUUUUCUGAUCUGGUAAAUGAAAUUAUACUGAAUACGUUAUUGUGGUUGUUAUAUUGUCUUUGUGUAUCUAAAGAGAUAUGGAUGUGAGUGGGAACAUCCCAUGUGCAUAUACUCAAGAAAAGGAGAUUGAAAACAAUGUGUAUGAAUUGUGCCUUGGUACAGAAAAAAUAUGGAAUGGUCCCUCAUAACGAUAAUGAGUGAAAAAUGUGAGUUAUAUUAUUUUAGAAAAAUAAAAUAGGAAUCUUUUAGGUGUUGAAUUACAAUUGGUUCUUGUCUAUCUUUUUCGUCUUUUCCUUUUUUAAAGUAGAAUAUAAAAAAAAUAAUACUAAAAAUAGAAAGUUAAUUACCAAAAAGAGAAAUACCAAAAUAAACAUACAAAUUAAUUCUAGAUUAAGAAAAUUAAAAUACCAUAAUACUAAACUUAUUUAUUGAAACCUAAUUUGAAAAGGAUGAAAAUUAUUCUUUCUUUUGAAAAUGAAAUAAAAUUGAUAUUCUAAAAUAUGAUUCUAUUUUUGUAAUUUUUCAAUUUCAACAAAUAAAACUUAUCAAACUAAAACAAAGAUUAAAAAAAAAAACAACAACAUAGCAGUGAAUUUCCAAAAGUGGGUAUAAGAAGGGUAGGAUAUAAGAAGUGUACUGUAACCAACGUAGAAUUGAAAGGAAAAUAACGUCAAGAAAUAUCAAGAUACAUAAAGUAAAUGAAACAACAUGCAAUGGUGAAAAGUAAAGAAUAAGAUAGUAUGCGACUAUGUCUACUAAUCAACAUUUACUAAAUAAAGAGAAGACGAGAAGAGGAAGUUAAUCCCCCGCUUCUCCCACAAAGAAAUAUGACAACAAUAAUCGACUAUUUACUAUUCUUGUACUAUAAUCUUCGAUCUUCAUAUCUUCUUAUUUAGGUCAUGUAUUUCGAAGAUGUUUCAUGUCAUAUCUAAAUUAUCUCUUCUCAAUUCCUCUUCGUCUUAUUUGUACCUCUCAUAAAAUCGGUUACAAAUCAAUCUCUUCACACCUUCUUAUUUGUACACUCAUUCCUGCAUCUCUCCAUAUAUGUUCGAACUAUUUCUAUCUCGUUUUCCUCAUCUUAAUCCUUACUAAAAAAUGUUAAUCAGAUUCCAAUGUGGAUAUCAAAUAUCGAACACCGAAUAAAGAUGAAAAACAAGAAAAAAAUCCAAAGAUGCUGUUUUUAUUCCUGCCACAUAGAUUAUUGGGUCAGCCAUAAAAAUAUCUUCGUUAGCUGGCUGAUGACGUGGACUUCCUCUGGUGGCAGGUUUAGGUCUCUAGAUAUUUUCACCUCAAAAUAUCCUUCAACCACGUGUCGACCAAACUUUCAUUUUUGCCAUCCAAACACCUAUAAACUACCGAAAUGCCAUUGACUAUCAAUACUAGUUUGUAUUUUUUAUUUCUAAAUUCUAAUACUAUACUAUUAGUUCUUACUAUUUUUUGAAAAGUUACACUUUUAAGAUCCACUUUUUUUUAUAUAUUGAUAGCGUUAUUAAAUAUUUAUGAAAUAAAAAAAAAAUUAUUACUCUUUUUUGAAUUAAUUAAAAGGAAAAAGGUAUUGUAUAUAUUAAAAUAGAGCGAAUAUUAUUUUAUCAUGAUUAUUAUUUACAAAAUAUAGUAAGUAAUUGUUCGAUUUUGGAUUCAAAUACCUUCUUUUAUUUCUUUAGUAUGUUUUCCAUUGAUUACUACUUACUUAGUAUAAGUCGCUAGAAGGUGACACGGCUUGAACAACAUGUCUACUUCAGAAGCCAGGGAUAAUUUUAUCUUUCUUCGUGCAAUUACACAUGGCAUUGAUUGAUAAAAAUAUGAAAGACUAGAUUUACCCUUACUCCUCUAUUUUUUUUUUGGCAAUUAACAAAUUUUAUUAAUUACCAUAACCAUGAGAAAUUAUUUUAGAUUUAACCCUUGUCAAAGACAAAAUCCAUCAAAACAAUGUCACAACUAUCAACUAAAUGUGAUAUCUAAUGUGAAUUGUAAAAUUUUUGAACCAUCGAGUCUUUAAUUGCAUAUUACGCUUGAAGCUAUUAGGUCAAUGACAUAUAUUUGUCUGAAUGCCACGCAUUAUAUUGCAUCGCCGCUAAAAUGCUUAAAGAAACUAUCAACUAAAUAUAGACAUAGCAACAACUAUAGCCUUUAAUAUGCAUUUUUGUGCACUCUUAAUUUUCAUAUCAUUAAAUCCAAAAUAUAUACCUAAAACGAGGAAUCAAUUAUACAUAGUACUAGAACUAGAAUACUUAUUCUUAGGGCCACUUAAAUAUAUUUUUAAGUAGCUAGAACAGCUAAUUAACCACUAUUAUAAUGCUAUGUUCCUUAAUCCUAGUAUAUAAUUCAACUUUAAAUAUAAUCAGUAGGUCAAGUGUGAUAAUGACAUCCAUAAUUAUCGUUUAUCACACUCCAAUUUAAUAAUAAAAUAAUAAAUUAACAUUGAAGCAUAACUAUGGCCUAUGGGUUCUCAAUACAUGAAUAUUCUCUCAAACAGGUAUAUAAUUUUUUUAUAAAUAGUUCUACUUUAAAGCAUAGUUACAAAACGUAAAUAUAAUUUAACAUAACUAUAAUUAUUGUAUCAGGUAAAAGAAUUGUAUCAUGCAGAUAUCAAUUAUAUCGACAACUAAUUAUAUUCAAACAACAAGUAUCAUCCGUAUCAGACGGAUAUCAACGCAUACUAUAUCAAUUGAUAAGUUCAAUCUUUAUGUUUCUAUCAACAGAAUUCAUUAUACUUUUAAAAUUACGAAUUCAAAUAUUUUAAUAUUAAAACACACACGUCUAUGCAUGAUAUCAGAAAUACUAGGUUCGUAUUAAUCCAAUUCUUACAUCACCCCCCCCCCCACACACACACACAAUAAAAAUAUCUUACUUUCGGUGUGAACUAUGAAUUAAAUUUCAAAAAAUAACAAUUCUAAAAAAGAUUAUUUAAUUUUGUAAACAAUAAUAGUUUCAAAUUCCAUAGCAGAAACUCCAGUACAUUGUCAUGGAGUAAAACUUGUAAAAACAACAACAUAUCUAGUGUAAUCUCACAAGUGAAGACUAGGGUGAUAGGAUGUGAACAAACCUUAUCCUUACCUUUGUGGUGUAGAGAGAUGUUGUUUCCGAUAGACCCUCGACUCAACAAUAAAGAAAAGAAUUUGAAGCAUGGUAGCAAGAAAAUAUGACAGCAAAACAGCAAGAUACAAAUCAAAUGAAGCAACAAAGUGCAACAAUACUCGGCUACCUACUAACUUUCUAAUCUAAUCCUCAACUUUCACUCCUUCCUAUCUAGGGUCAUAUCCGGAGUAAAACUUGUAGAUUUUGAAAUUACCUGACUAUAGUUAUAUUUCGAAGAUAUGUCCGAAAAGUGGCUCUCUAGUAUGAAUGUAGUUUGGGCAAGUUGUAUGACUUUGGGUCUCUGAAACUAUUCCAACUUGCUUUUUGGUACAAGUCUUAAAUACAAUUUGGGUCUCAAUCUGACAAAUAAUUCAAUGAGCAAAACAAGAAUUCUCACUUCUACCCUUCCACCAACCCUACCAUUACUCUAUUGGAGAGAAGCAGUCACAAAGAGAAGACUUCUCUUUACAAACCCUUAAAAGUCUUGCAUUCCCAUCCAUUACACUGCCUUCUUCUUUCAUAAAGAAUUGGUUUUGAGAAUCUAAAUCAACAACUCAGAACUUCCUCCUACUGUCCUGUUUAGCAAGAAACUAACAAACAGCGAUAUGGCGGCGUAUGCUGCUGUGACUUCACUUUUGCAUACCCUGGACAGUCUAUCUCAAACUGAUAUUCUUUACAAAAAAAAGCAAACUGAAGUCCUCAGUGACAAGUACACCUUCCUUAAAACCUUUCUUGAGGAUUUUACUAAUAUUUUCCAUGAAGAUGUAAAGAUGAAGCAUCUCGAAAGGAUAAUCCAAGAAGCUGCUAAUGGAGUGGAAGAUACUAUUGACUCACAUGUAUAUGAUAGACAUGUUUUAGUACAAAGCAAGCAAGUACGAAGUAAGGCUGAUGCAAUUUUCCAUCAAAACUUGGAAUAUGCAAUUGAGGAAAUUGGUUUGAUACAAAAAGAGGUUAUGAAAAAGAUAAAGGUCAACAAGUUCAACAGCAAAAUCUCUCAUUCAAGAGAUACUUCAUCUCAGAUCCCUUUGGAUCAAAAAGAUAUAAUCGUUGGACUAGAUGAAGAUUUACUAAGGAUAAAAGAUCGACUCAUCGUGCAAUCAUCAAGACUCGAAGUUGUCCCUAUUAUAGGGAUGGGUGGUAUUGGCAAGACCACACUGGCUAGAAGAGUUUAUGAUGAUUCCUUGAUUGCAUACCAUUUUUAUGUCCGAGCAUGGACAAAUGUAUCUCAAGAAUUUGACACCAGAGAAAUUUUUCUUGGUAUUCUUCGCUCCAUUGGCGCAGUCAACGAUGAAGUAGAAAGAAACAGUACUAAUGAGCAAUUGGCUGAAAGAGUUUAUCGAAGUUUAAAAGGGAGGAAGUAUCUUAUUGUCCUAGAUGAUAUGUGGUCCAUCGAGGCUUGGCAGCAUGUGAGGAGAUCAUUUCCAGAUGAUCAUAAUGGAAGUCGAAUCGUGUUGACCACAAGGCUUGCAGAUGUUGCAUCUUGUGCUUGCUCUGUCAAUUCCCUUCACCAGAUGCGCUUUCUGAGCAUGGAGGAAAGCUGGACUCUUUUACGCGAUAAGGUCUUUGGGAACGGUAGUUACUCUCCGGAAUUGGAGAAAAUUGGGAGAUACAUUGUCCAUCAGUGUCAAGGGUUGCCACUUGCAGUUGUUGCAAUUGGUGGACUACUUUCCAAGAUGAGCAAGGAAACAAGUUCUUGGGAGAAUGUUGCAGAAAAGGUAGGAUCGCUUAUGACCAGUGACACUACGGAUUGCUUGAACAUACUUUCUUUGAGCUACAACCACUUGCCUCAGUACUUGAAAGCAUGCUUCCUUUAUAUGGGAGUUUUUGCAGAAAUCCGUGAGAUCCCGGUCUGGAAGUUAAUAAAGUUAUGGAUUGCUGAGGGCUUCGUCAAGAAAGUUAAUCAUAAAAAUCUAGAAGAUGUGGCAGAGGAAAAUUUGAGGGAGUUAGUUGAUAGAAGUUUGGUUUUGGUGGGGAAGCAUACUUCCCUACGAAAAAUCAAGACUUGUAAGAUGCAUGAUCUCGUUCGAGAUAUGUGUUUGAGAGAAGCCAAAUAUGAGAAUUUUAUACACUUCAAAACAAGGUAUGACCAUGAUGACCUUCUAGAAAACAUUAGUUGUCUACGUCGUGUAGCUGAUUUCCAUAAGUAUACAGACAGUGAACUUUCUAAACUUAUGCCACACACACGUUCUGUUUUCUUCAAAUAUCCAUACUUUUUUGUUUCCUCUCACAGUCGAGCUUUAGAUUACUUAGGAUAUUAGAUGUUUGCUUUGAUCCUUUUUUUAACUGUUCUCCGUCCAUAUCCGAAUUGAUUCAUUUGAGGUAUCUUGCUUGUCCGUCCUUCGAUGGCCUUGUGCAGUCAAUAUGCAAGCUUCGGAAUUUACAGAACUUAGUUAUUCAUGAUUCAUGUCCAUUUGGUUUAUGUAUGUGGGAAGUUGUGAAUAUGCCUCAACUAAGACAUAUCCAUACAAAAAAGUUUAUUCUUUUCAUACCCCCACCUACAUCACUAAUUGCUGUGAGGGAGAAUCAUUUACAAACGUUAACCGGAUUGAUUUCCUCAUCUUGUAAUGAAGAGGUGUUUCUAAGAAUUCCAAAUUUGAAGAAGUUGGGAAUAUUAAUUGAUGUUGUUUCAGACACUAUUCAGAAGUGUUAUUGUCUUGAUAAUCUUGUACAUUUAACUCAGCUUGAGAAGCUCAAAGUUGAGUGCGAUUAUCUGCAGGAGUUAAUUUGGAUCUUAGGAGCUCGAAGCUUAGGUUGGGUGGGCCUUCCUUUGCUACACAUUCCACAUUGUGAAAAUUUCCCACCAAACCUUAAGAAGUUAACAUUGUGCAGAACGUACCUACAAUGGGAAGACAUGAACAUUCUCAGAAAAUUACCUAAUCUUGAGGUGCUCAAACUUAAACAUAAUGCCUUUGACGGACUAAUUUGGAUACUAAGCGAUGAAGACGAAGAUGGAUUCUUGAAGCUAAAGUUUUUACUUCUUAAGCGCAUGAGUCUGAAGCAAUGGGAAGCAACAAGUUAUCAUUUUCCAAGCCUUGAGCACUUAGUCCUAAAAGAUUGCCGGAACUUGGAACAAAUUCCUUUCGACUUUGCGGAGAUUCAGACACUACAGCUGAUUGAACUACACGAAUGUAUGCGUUCUGUUCUUGUUUCAGCAGAGCAAAUACAAGCGGAGCAACAAAGCUUGGGAAAUGAUGACCUCAUUAUUCAUGCGAACUAUAUAUGUGAGUAAACAUUAAUCAAAAAGGUAUACAUUUCUUAAAAGCAUAAAUUUUUUGAUUAGCUAGAUUCGUUCGAAAUCUGAAAAUGUUUUUAUAUUCAUCAUUUUCACUUAUUUAUACUAUAAAAGGUGCUAAUUACAAUUGGUUUGUGCAUUGAAGACGUAACGACUAGCUGAUGGAGAGUACCAAAAGGUAUAUAUACUCAAGCAAAUUUGCAGAAGUUCAUAAUCUUUCCUGUCUGUGUAUUUCAAUUUCCUUUUUUUCAAAUUCAGGGAAGUAAGUUAGUGAAAUAGUCAUGUUUCGACUUGUUUAGGACUGAGACUUAGUUUAGUGAAUCUGAUAUCUAUAUACAUUCAUCAGAAAGAAUACAUUACCUUUGGAAUGUGUAUAUAGUUGAAUAACUUCUCUUUUUAUUGAAAUUGAUUCUAUAAAUCAGUUCUCCUCAACAAAACCUUUUUCGUCCAUUACCAAACACACCCUUAGUGUUUCUUUGUUUUGCUCGUCUUAACUCUUAUCUAUACUUUAACAUUUUUGUGUUUUACUUGCUUCUUUUGUUUACAAUAAUGUUUUAUCAUUUUGAAUAUGUUGACUUUUAGUCAAUUUUAUUUUUCUUUAGUUCAAAACAAUAUAAUAAAAGAGGCGUUGAAAAAUUCCAAAUACGUGAAACGUAAUCUUCUCUUUAUUUUGCUUUGCUCUUUCGAUCUUAAUUUAUAUAACGUAUUUCGCUUUUUAGUAUGUCUCAAAACAAAUUUACUACAUUUUUCUAAUUUGAAUAUAUAUUAAAAUUGUGGAUAUCAUAUUUUAGUCAUGAUGUUAUACUUUAGUUAAAGAAUAUUUCUUUUUACUUGUUCACUUUAGCAAAUCAAGAUCAUAAAAUUAUUAAUUGAUUUUUUUAUAAUUGUAGCGUCUAAGUCCGUUUGUAUGCGCACCGACUAAUUCUAUGAUAUACUAUAUCUAUUAUUCCUCACCAACCAUGCAUAAAGUAACUUUGUUAUCAAAGCUUGAACUGAUAAGAAGAAAUCAUCACGUGUUCUUAAUUAGCUAUAUCUAGAAUUUGAAUUUAAAAUCCCAUAAUUUUCAACACAUGACUUCAUUGACCAUCUUUCAAAAACAACAUAAGAUCUACAUUUAUUCUAUCUUUUCUUCCUGAUAAAUGAAAUUACACAAAAUACGUUGCGGUUGUUAUAUUGUCUUUGUGUAUCUAAAGUGAUAUGGGUGUGAGUGGGAACAUCCCAUGAGCAUAUGCUCAAGAAAAGGAUAUUGAAAACAAUGUGUAUGAAUUGUGCCCAAAUUAAAGUCAAUUCACUAUGCAUUUUCUUUAGAAAGAAAUGAAGGGUACAAACAUGUUUUUUUAAUAUUCAAGUUGGAAUAAACAACACAAUAUAAUCAAACUGAGAAAUGAUAUUCAAUAUACUUUUGCAGGCAUCCAGCAAGUUGGAAUAGUUUAAAGGUAAAAUGCAUAAGUACCCCCAGCUUAUGUUCAAAAUCCCUGAGACAUACCUAACAUUUACUAAGGUCCUAUUACUCUCUUGAACUUAUUUUAUAUAUAAUUUUCUACCCCUUUUCAGCUUACAUGGCACUAUCUUGUGGGUCCAGCGCGUGUUGUCAAUUUUUCCAAGGAUAGUGCCACGUAGGCCGAAAAGGGGUAAAGAAUUAUAUAUAAAAUAAGUUUAGGGGUAAUAGGACCUUAGUAAAGGUUAGGUGUGUCUUAGAAAUUUUGGACAUAGGCUGGGGGUACCUUAUGCAUUUCCCCUAGUAUAAAUCAGAUGAGUUCAAAAAGUUGGCACCAUACCGGGUGCAAUUCCGCAAGUAGGGUCUCGGAGGUUAAAAUGUACGCAACCUUAUGAAGGUAGACACACUAUUUUAAGUAGACUCUCGGCUCAAGUAACGCUUAGAAAGAAAAUAUAGUAGGAAGAAGUCAUGCUAAAAAUAACGCAGGAGAGAAUAGUAACAAGAUGUUAAAUAAUGUGGAGCCCAAAUGUAAUUUUCUAACUUUUUUUCUUUUUGUAUUUCUUUCCACAAAAAUAUUGAACUUUGAACUUCACACAUAAAAUCAAUGUUAAAUUUGUCUUACCUUCCCCUCCAAAAUAACCUCUUUAAAAAUGACACAAAUGAAGAAAUUGCACUGAUCCAAAUGAGGAAAAUCAGUUGAAAAGCUUGGAUCUUCCACUGAUGUAAAAAAAAAAUUGAGUCCCCUUUUCCUCUUUUAGUGUAAAGUUCAAAUCUUUGUACUGAUAAUCAGUUUUGAUUGGUUUUUAAAAAAAAAAAAUUAACCCCCUUUUCCUCUUUCAGUUUAAAGCUCAAAUCUUUUUACUGAUAAUCAUUUUAUUUUUUUGCAGAGUUAUGGAGAGCAACACUUAAGAGGAUUGCAAGAGUAACUUAUUUUCCCCCAUAGUACAGUUUCCUCUCUUUUUUUCUCAAUACAUUGCAUUUUUGUUAUUGUUAUUGUUGUUGUUGUUGUGGGUUAGUACAUAAAUGUUGAUCUUUAUUGUGCUUAAUUAUUAUUUCAGAAAGUCACGCUUCUUCUUGAUUUCAAUUUUUUUCAACAAAGAAAGUGACCUUCUGACAAUAAUAACUAUUAGUUGAAUGACCAUCUUAGAAAGUGACAUUUCAAUUUUUUUCGACAAAGAAAGUGACAUUACCUAACCAUAGUUAUUUUUCAAAGAUAUGAUCAAAAAGUGGCUCAUUACGGUAUGAAUGUAGUUUGGGCAAGUUGUAUGACUUUGGGACUCAUUUUAAAAAACUAUUCCAACUUGCCUUUUGGUACAAGUCUUAAAUACCAUUGACUUCAAUCAAAACUCUCUUAUAGAGAAACAGACACAAAGAGAAGACUUCUCUUUACAUAGCCUAACAAGUCUUGCAUUCCCAUCCAUUACACUGCCUUAUCCGAUAGACCCUCGACACAACAAUAAAGAAAAGAAUUUGAAGCAUGGUAGCAAGAAAAUAUGACAGCAAAACAGCAAGAUACAAAUCAAAUGAAGCAACAAGUAGUAAUGCACAUCGAAGAAAAAGAAACAAAGUGCAACAAUAUUGCUACCUACUAACCUUCUAAUGUAAUCCUCAACUUUCACUCCUUCCUACCUAGGGUCAUAUCCGGAGUAAAACUUGUAGAUUUUGAAAUUACCUGACUAUAGUUAUUUUUAGAAGAUAUGUCCGAAAGUGUCUCUCUAGUAUGAAUGUAGUUUGGGCAUGGGUCUCUGACAAACUAUUCCAACUUGCUUUUUGGUACAAGUCUUUAAAUACAAUUUGAGUCUCAAUCUGACAAAUAAUUCAAUGAGCAAAACAAGAAUUCUCACUUCUACCCUUCCACCAACCCCACCAUUACUCUCUUGGAGAGAAACAGACACAAAGAGAAGACUUCUCUUUACAAAACCUAAAAAGUCUAGCAUUCCCAUCCAUUACAUUGCCUUCUUCUUUCAUAAAGAAUUGGUUUUGAACAUCUAAAUCAAGAACUCAGAACUUCCUCCUAUUGUCCUGUAUAGUGAGAAACUAACAAACAGCGAUAUGGCGGCGUAUGCUGCUGUGACUUCACUUUUGCAAACCCUGGAUCAUCUAUCUCAAACUCAUACAUCACAUUCUCUUCAUUACAAAAAAGAGCAAACUGAAGUCCUCAGUGAGAAGUACACCUUCCUUAAAACCUUUCUUGAGGAUUUUACUAAUAUUUUCCAUGAAGAUGUAAUGAUGAAGCAUCUCGAAAGGAUGAUCCAAGAAGCUGCUAAUGGAGUGGAAGAUACUAUUGACUCACAUGUAUAUGAUAGACAUGUUUUAGUACAAAGCAAGCGAGUACGAAGAAAGGCUAAUACAACUUUCCAUCAAAACUUGGAAUAUGCAAUUGAGGAAAUUGGUUUGAUACAAAAAGAGGUUAUGAAAAAGAUAAAAGGUCAACAAGUUCAACAGUAAAAAUCUCUCAUUCAAGAG
This 13928-nucleotide long non-coding RNA is filed under the name Solanum tuberosum (potato). RNAcentral describes it as "long non-coding RNA (STUB_LNC000507)". The record is from RNAcentral. Lineage: Eukaryota; Viridiplantae; Streptophyta; Magnoliopsida; Solanales; Solanaceae.